CUCCAAAUAUUUUACCAUUUUAUUAGGUUGGUGCAAAAGUAAUUGCGGUUUUUACCCUUGAAAGUAAUGGCAAACACUGCAAUUAUUUUUGUACCAAUCUAAUAGAUUU
RNAcentral lists this microRNA precursor (109 nucleotides) under Chlorocebus sabaeus (green monkey). RNAcentral describes it as "miRNA (ENSCSAG00000024829.1)". Lineage: Eukaryota; Metazoa; Chordata; Mammalia; Primates; Cercopithecidae. The record is from RNAcentral.